CAUGGCUCAGAUUGAACGCUGGCGGUAGGCUUAACACAUGCAAGUCGUGCGAGAAAGUACCUUCGGGUGCGAGUAGAGCGGCGGACGGGUGAGUAACGCGUAGGAAUCUACCUAGUAGAAGGGGAUAGCCCGGGGAAACUCGGAUUAAUACCGUAUACCUCCUUAGGGAGAAAGAGGGCUUAGCUUUGAUGCUCUCGCUAUUAGAUGAGCCUGCGUAAGAUUAGCUUGUUGGUGAGGUAAUGGCUCACCAAGGCGACGAUCUUUAGCUGGUCUGAGAGGACGAUCAGCCACAUUGGGACUGAGACACGGCCCAGACUCCUACGGGAGGCAGCAGUGGGGAAUAUUGGACAAUGGGCGCAAGCCUGAUCCAGCCAUACCGCGUGUGUGAAGAAGGCUUUCGGGUUGUAAAGCACUUUAAGUAAGGAGAAAAAGAUUGUAGUUAAUACCUGCAAUCCGUGAUGUUACUUACAGAAUAAGGACCGGCUAAUUCCGUGCCAGCAGCCGCGGUAAUACGGAAGGUCCAAGCGUUAAUCGGAAUUACUGGGCGUAAAGCGCGCGUAGGUGGUUUUUUAAGUUGGAUGUGAAAGCCCUGGGCUCAACCUAGGAACUGCAUCCAAAACUAGAUGACUAGAGUACGAAAGAGGGAAGUAGAAUUCACAGUGUAGCGGUGGAAUGCGUAGAUAUUGUGAAGAAUACCAAUGGCGAAGGCAGCUUCCUGGUUCUGUACUGACACUGAGGUGCGAAAGCGUGGGUAGCGAACAGGAUUAGAUACCCUGGUAGUCCACGCCGUAAACGAUGACAACUAGCUGUUGGGAGACAAGAUCUCUCAGUGGCGCAGCUAACGCUUUAAGUUGUCCGCCUGGGGAGUACGGCCGCAAGGUUAAAACUCAAAUGAAUUGACGGGGACCCGCACAAGCGGUGGAGCAUGUGGUUUAAUUCGAUGCAACGCGAAAAACCUAC
Molecule: ribosomal RNA, 960 nt
Filed under: marine metagenome
Description: bacterial SSU rRNA
Rfam family: Bacterial small subunit ribosomal RNA
Source: RNAcentral